Molecule: ribosomal RNA, 255 nt
Filed under: uncultured bacterium
Lineage: Bacteria
Description: partial 16S ribosomal RNA
Rfam family: Bacterial small subunit ribosomal RNA
Source: RNAcentral
CGCAUACGUCCUACGGGAGAAAGCAGGGGACCUUCGGGCCUUGCGCUAUCAGAUGAGCCUAGGUCGGAUUAGCUAGUUGGUGGGGUAAUGGCUCACCAAGGCGAGGAUCCGUAACUGGUCUGAGAGGAUGAUCAGUCACACUGGGAACUGAGACACGGUCCAGACUCCUACGGGAGGCAGCAGUGGGGAAUAUUGGACAAUGGGCGAAAGCCGGAUCCAAAAGGGCCGCGUGUGUGAAGAAGGUCUUCGGAUUGU